ACUCCUACGGGAGGCAGCAGUAAGGAAUAUUGGUCAAUGGACGCAAGUCUGAACCAGCCAUGCCGCGUGAAGGAUGAAGGCCCUCUGGGUUGUAAACUUCUUUUCUUUGGGAAUAAAAACCGGUAUUCAUACUGGCUUGAAGGUACCAGAGGAAUAAGCACCGGCUAACUCCGUGCCAGCAGCCGCGGUAAUACGGAGGGUGCAAGCGUUAUCCGGAUUCACUGGGUUUAAAGGGUGCGUAGGUGGCUUUGUAAGUCAGUGGUGAAAUCUUAGAGCUUAACUCUAAAACUGCCAUUGAUACUGCUUAGCUUGAAUCAAGUAGAGGUGGAUGGAAUAUUACAUGUAGCGGUGAAAUGCUUAGAUAUGUAAUAGAACACCGAUUGCGAAGGCAGUUCACUAUGCUUGUAUUGACACUGAGGCACGAAAGCGUGGGGAUCAAACAGGAUUAGAUACCCUGGUAGUCCACGCCCUAAACGAUGUAAACUCGACAUUAGCGAUAUACAGUUAGUGUCCAAGCGAAAGCGUUAAGUUUACCACCUGGGAAGUACGUCCGCAAGGAUGAAACUCAAAGGAAUUGACGG
This 581-nucleotide ribosomal RNA is filed under the name uncultured Lacibacter sp. RNAcentral describes it as "bacterial SSU rRNA". It matches the Rfam family "Bacterial small subunit ribosomal RNA", at positions 335 to 916 of the family's 1533-position model. The record is from RNAcentral. Lineage: Bacteria; Pseudomonadati; Bacteroidota; Chitinophagia; Chitinophagales; Chitinophagaceae.